GCUGGGUGUGGUGGCUCAUGCCUGUAAUCUCAGCUACUUGGGAGGCUGAGGCAGGAGGACUGCUUGAACCCAGGAGUUUGAGGCUGCAAUGAGGUAUGAUCAUGCCGCUGCACUCCAGCCUGGGUGAUACAGCAAUACCCUGUCUCCA
This is an unclassified non-coding RNA of Callithrix jacchus (white-tufted-ear marmoset), 148 nucleotides long. It matches the Rfam family "Metazoan signal recognition particle RNA". From Rfam's summary of the family: The signal recognition particle (SRP) is a universally conserved ribonucleoprotein. NCBI's taxonomy places the organism in Eukaryota, Metazoa, Chordata, Mammalia, Primates, Cebidae. The record is from Ensembl.